RNAcentral lists this ribosomal RNA (250 nucleotides) under uncultured bacterium. RNAcentral describes it as "partial 16S ribosomal RNA". It matches the Rfam family "Bacterial small subunit ribosomal RNA", at positions 524 to 773 of the family's 1533-position model. The record is from RNAcentral.
UACGAAGGGUGCUAGCGUUGUUCGGAAUCACUGGGCGUAAAGCGUGCGUAGGCGGUUUCUUAAGUCUGAUGUGAAAGCCCGGGGCUCAACCCCGGAUGUGCAUUGGAUACUGGGAGGCUAGAGAUUGGGAGAGGAAAGUGGAAUUCCGAGUGUAGAGGUGAAAUUCGUAGAUAUUCGGAGGAACACCAGUGGCGAAGGCGACUUUCUGGACCAAUACUGACGCUGAGGUACGAAAGCGUGGGGAUCAAAC